AGAGUUUGAUCCUGGCUCAGGACGAACGCUGGCGGCGUGCCUAAUACAUGCAAGUCGAACGCACUCUCGUUUAGAUUGAAGGAGCUUGCUCCUGAUUGAUAAACAUUUGAGUGAGUGGCGGACGGGUGAGUAACACGUGGGUAACCUGCCCUAAAGUGGGGGAUAACAUUUGGAAACAGAUGCUAAUACCGCAUAAAACCUAACACCGCAUGGUGUAGGGUUGAAAGAUGGUUUCGGCUAUCACUUUAGGAUGGACCCGCGGUGCAUUAGUUAGUUGGUGAGGUAAAGGCUCACCAAGACCGUGAUGCAUAGCCGACCUGAGAGGGUAAUCGGCCACACUGGGACUGAGACACGGCCCAGACUCCUACGGGAGGCAGCAGUAGGGAAUCUUCCACAAUGGACGAAAGUCUGAUGGAGCAACGCCGCGUGAGUGAAGAAGGUUUUCGGAUCGUAAAACUCUGUUGUUGGAGAAGAAUGUAUCUGAUAGUAACUGAUCAGGUAGUGACGGUAUCCAACCAGAAAGCCACGGCUAACUACGUGCCAGCAGCCGCGGUAAUACGUAGGUGGCAAGCGUUGUCCGGAUUUAUUGGGCGUAAAGCGAGCGCAGGCGGUUUCUUAAGUCUGAUGUAAAAGCCUUCGGCUCAACCGAAGAAGUGCAUCGGAAACUGGGAAACUUGAGUGCAGAAGAGGACAGUGGAACUCCAUGUGUAGCGGUGAAAUGCGUAGAUAUAUGGAAGAACACCAGUGGCGAAGGCGGCUGUCUGGUCUGUAACUGACGCUGAGGCUCGAAAGCAUGGGUAGCAAACAGGAUUAGAUACCCUGGUAGUCCAUGCCGUAAACG
RNAcentral lists this ribosomal RNA (841 nucleotides) under uncultured bacterium. RNAcentral describes it as "bacterial SSU rRNA". It matches the Rfam family "Bacterial small subunit ribosomal RNA", at positions 8 to 808 of the family's 1533-position model. The record is from RNAcentral.